AUCCGGUUGACGAGUCCCAAAUGGGACGAAACGCAUGUCCUGGUU
Molecule: non-coding RNA, 45 nt
Organism: Schistosoma mattheei
Lineage: Eukaryota; Metazoa; Platyhelminthes; Trematoda; Strigeidida; Schistosomatidae
Source: Rfam